CGGAGAGAUUCAGACAUCUGCCCCCAGAGCAACAUUGAGACAUUCCAUGAAUUAUGUGCUAAAAUAGAACAAUGAAAGGAUUUCAGAUUUGUAUACAUUUGAAUUCCUAAGGAACUAUAGGGUGUGUCAUCUGGACAUAUGUAUGAAUGAGGCGGCUAGUCACCGAAGCUUUUGGAUUAUCAUUCACGAUACGUCAUUGCAGGGAUUUGCUGGAUUUUAUGCCUUUCCCUCAGGAUUCUGCUACGACCAGUCCGCGACAGCAGCAAUAAUUAUACUAUAGCGGCAGGUGACUCCUACAUUGGAAAUACAUUACAUUUCACUCAAGUGGAAUGGUUGCAGUACCGUGCUAUUGACAAUAAAGAAGUAUAAAGUAAUAWUCCCCGGUUUAUUGUAUUCGAGGGAUAAAGACAUCACCAGCAGAAGCCUACUAAAUGAGUGCCAGAACAUCGGAGAAUUUUGAGCUUUCCAUACCACACUGCACCUUCAACGGGACUACUCAGACAAACGGGACAUGCAUCAACCAAGUUGAUCAGUUGUUUCUGGCAUUCUCGUCCACUGUCGUGCUCAUCGUCCUCAUGKCGGUUAUCAUUGGGAUCAUAAUUGUUUCUCUCGCGACUUUCCAUUUGCACAAAAGGAAGAUGAAAAAGGGCAAAAUUCGAAAGGCGCAGGAGGAGUAUGAGCGGGAUAACUGCAGCCCUAAAACCGCCAAAGGGGAGCAAGCAACCCGACAUUGCAUCAUGGUUAGACCCGGUCUCCGAGCGCCCCCCGCUGCAGUCCAGAAAAAUGAACAGAACACGCCGUUUAAUGAAGACUCUAGUGUCACACCUAACCCAGAAAACAGCUCAAAUGCUGACACAAGCCAAAUUAACAGCACUCAUUGGUGUCUCGGUGAUAAUGCACAGUUCGUUCGUUGAAAAACGUGUAAAUAACUACAGUCUAUUCAUAUUACUACUAGAUAUAUAGUUGCAGUUCCACAAACAUGAACAGUCUUCAUUAUAAUUUACCACCAAGGAUUACCGGGAAGAGCCGUGCCCUUUGACAGAGACGGUUUAACUCUGUCAAGUAGACCAACCUAUAUAAUAUGGGACUACCAAAAGGUUGUUGUUUUUUGUCACAGCUGGCCUUUUUAUCACCGAAUGACAAGAAAGACUAACCACCAGCUUAGAUGGUUGUUACAGGAGUCGACUUGGAUCAAGUAAAUGGAAUUGUAUAAAUGGAAUUGUAUAAAUAAGAUCGUUCUAAAUUGGCUGAAUUAUAGACCUAUAGUCAUCUCAUACCGGUGAAGUGUUGUAAUGUGAAGGAGGGGACUGAAGGUGUCAUUGUGCACUUCAGCACUGGACAGCGUUCAUCGCAGCGAUAAGCACUGUUUAGUGCUGAAGUGGCUCUCCCUGUCGAAAGUCAGAAGUGCUGAAUGGUUGAGGCAACGGGAUGUAUUCAUUAGUCGGACGCGGUUGCAAAACGUUUGUAUAGGUGCGAAACGUUUUGAAACGAAAACGAGAGUUUCUAUUGGAAAAAUUCACGUAGGUCCAGGUUUUUUUCAUAGUUGUACAAUGCUUUUGACUUUAAAGUAGAGAGCAUAAUAGCCAUAUAUAUUUCCCAAUCAAGUAGGCUAGAAAUAUUUUUGGGAAUAGUAGCUAUUUUAUGAUAAAUGCUGUUUUUGCCAUGCUAGUGAGGUAAAAACAUAUUCCUUUGUCCUACAUAGUUUGAAAAUACUAUUUGGACUGAAAGCAUACAUAUGCCGCUGUUAGUAUUGGUAUAAUCUUGUUUUGGUCAAUGUUCUGUAUAUCAAAAGUGACAUUUGUGUUAAAGAGGCAUUCUACAGUAGUUCCGUAGUAGCCUACAGGUCUCAGUAAAGUGAAAUCCCUGUCAUUGUUUAGCUUUUUUCAGCAGACUAAUAUAUAUACUGGAUAAUUUAUGCUUUUAGUUCUAGAAUAGCAUUACUAUAGUGUAUUUGACCUUAUCUAUAAUAAAUAAUGAACCAUUUUAAAAGUCAAAA
This is a non-coding RNA of Salvelinus sp. IW2-2015, 1996 nucleotides long. The record is from RefSeq and is a predicted model, not a curated record. NCBI's taxonomy places the organism in Eukaryota, Metazoa, Chordata, Actinopteri, Salmoniformes, Salmonidae.